RNAcentral lists this ribosomal RNA (403 nucleotides) under bacterium. Its description in RNAcentral is "partial 16S ribosomal RNA". It matches the Rfam family "Bacterial small subunit ribosomal RNA", at positions 355 to 776 of the family's 1533-position model. The record is from RNAcentral.
UGGGGAAUAUUGCACAAUGGGGGAAACCCUGAUGCAGCGACGCCGCGUGAACGAAGAAGGUAUUCGUAUCGUAAAGUUCUGUCCUAUGGGAAGAUAAUGACAGUACCAUAGAAGAAAGCUCCGGCUAAAUACGUGCCAGCAGCCGCGAUAAUACGUAUGGAGCGAGCGUUGUCCGGAAUUAUUGGGCGUAAAGGGUACGCAGGCGGUUUAAUAAGUCGAAUGUUAAAGAUCGGGGCUCAACCCCGCAAAGCAUUGGAAACUGAUAAACUUGAGUAGUGGAGAGGAAAGUGGAAUUCCUAGUGUAGUGGUGAAAUACGUAGAUAUUAGGAGGAAUACCAGUAGCGAAGGCGACUUUCUGGACACAAACUGACGCUGAGGUACGAAAGCGUGGGGAGCAAACAGG